AAAGUCUACAAUGAAAGCUACUCUGUUCUGGUAGAGGUUUUUUUUUAGUUCCUGCCCCCAUUGUUUUCAUUGUUGAGGGUUUCUCCAAUCAUCGAUUUCAUUGUUGAAUUUUUUUUAGUUCCUGCCCCCAUUGUUUUCAUUGUUGAGGGUUUCUCCAAUCAUCGAUUUCAUUGUUGAAUUUUCUAAUAAGGGUUCUAGUUUUUGGCUGUAGGGUUUCUGAUUUGGUAUUCAUGUGAUUUGUCUGCAGUCUGCUUUUUGACUGAAGAAACAUUGUUUCAAUGCAUCGUUCUUUUUAGUUCCUGGAAUUUUUAAUGUGAUUAAUGUUGAGGGUGAAAGCAGAAUCUUCUAUGCUGCCUAUGCUUGAAUAUGUGAAGAUUUUCUGCUCAAAUUGAAGGAUAUGGUACACCCAUUAAAGUUUGAUGCACCGAUUAAAGCGGUCACUUUAUUCAUAUUCGUUUGUUUUAAUGUGAGGUUGAUACACCCGUUAAUGUUUUUCUUGGUUUAUUAAGCUAUGGACAAUUUUGUUCAUGUACUCGUCUUCAUAUAUAAAAGUAUGAAGUUGUUCACUACAAUCUAUGAAAUUGAUUUCCUUACCAUCCAAUCCAUGGCAAGUUUGCCCAAGGUCCCCAAAACUAAGAAAGCUGAUGAAUUUUCCCUUUCCAUGCAAUCCAUGGCAAGUUCGUCCAAGGUCCCCAAAACUGAGAAAGUUGAUGAUGGCGGGUCCAGGGAAAUAGAGUUGCCUUCUGAGCCUUUGCCCAAAGGUUGGGAACAAUGUCUGGAUAUUAAGCAUAUCUCAUUUACAAGAUUUCUGGAUCGCAAAGCACAUUGAGCAUUGGUAGCAUCUAAUUACGCAACACAUAAAGGCUCACUUAACACAUGGACCCUAGCCGAGCAACGUCAUUUGGAUUAGUGUCUUCCAAGGAACAUCAUUUGCCCAAAAAACAAUCUUCCAUACAUGUCCAUUGCAGUCAGCCAGAUGCUCAUAGCUUACAAGAGCACCUUGGAAAACAGUGCCAUGUCGAUCAACUCAAAGGAAAAGACAACCCUUGCAGCACCCUCGCUACACAAGCAAGUCAUACCAAUCAAAGGAGCUCUACCAAGGUCGAAUACAAUAAGCAAAAUAGCACUCCUUCACACGAGCACAUACGGAAACGAUGCCUCACCAACAUGGAAGCCAGUGCACCGGAUGCCACCUCUCCACAACAACACACAAUAAAAUGGCAAAUUAGCAACAUUGAACAACAAAACUUCACCCCUGUCAAAAUGGAGCCGCACAAAAUUGAACAUAAAAAAGGUCAACAGAUGGAUUCUUCCAAGCAGCACAAUCCCAAUGCACAUUCCACCAAACAGCAAAAUCCCAAUCCACGGCCACAUACAAGCAAGAGCAAGAGAGUGGUGCUGAAGCCCUGCAUAUAAGCAAAUGGUAAAAAUGCCCAACGUACCAACUCCAACCUCUGAAACAACAAACAACGCCAUCUUCCAGACAUGCUCCACAAACUAGCCAUUCAAGCCACAGGGCAUUUACUUAGACAUUGGCGAUUGACUUGAGAUAACACUUAAUUUUGGAGCAAGUUGAGCUUUUCAACAUGUACUUUGCAAGAUAAUACAACAUCGGGGUAAAGAUUACGUUGCCAAUAUUUUUGUUUGCCUUCAAUUUUUGUCUGGAUCAAUCAAUCAUAUUCUCCAACCUGGUUAAACAGCUUUUGGGUGCAUGUUUAAAGGCUUUUCUCUCAAAGUUUAUUGAUACCCACAUCACUUUUCAUCUGUAUUUGAAAACAGGCAUGCACAUUUCUUAUACAAGAAUAGUUUACCAACUGUAAGUUCUAGAAAUGGAAUCUUUCUUUUGAAAU
This is an RNA transcript of Cryptomeria japonica (Japanese cedar), 1850 nucleotides long. RefSeq lists it as uncharacterized. The transcript is spliced from 12 exons. The record is from RefSeq and is a predicted model, not a curated record. NCBI's taxonomy places the organism in Eukaryota, Viridiplantae, Streptophyta, Pinopsida, Cupressales, Cupressaceae.